UUUCCUAUCUGAACUAUCACC
This 21-nucleotide microRNA is filed under the name Solanum tuberosum (potato). RNAcentral describes it as "stu-miR8039". The record is from miRBase by way of RNAcentral. Lineage: Eukaryota; Viridiplantae; Streptophyta; Magnoliopsida; Solanales; Solanaceae.